UGUGUGGCUCUUAUGCUCGUCUUGUCUCAUGGGGAUCACAGAAUAAAGUUUCUUCCAAAUGGAACAUUCCUUGUAUCAGUCGGUUUGGGACAAAUUAAUUCCUCAGAUAGGAACCCGGAUCUCCCUUCAGAGGUUUUCUACAAGUGAACGUAGAAAUUCUCAUCUCUUUCUGGUCCCCGUUUUCAGGAUGUGGACCUUUUGGAGGACAAAGGUCUCCGUAUGGGCUCCAAGCUAUGAUGCCAUAGGAGUAGAUCAGACUUGGCUUGGCUGUGCCAUUGGAAACAAAAGGAAAAGCAAGGGUGUUAAAUGAGCAACAGACCUCCCCAAACCACCUCUCCAAGAUGUCAAAUUGUCAGACUUUCGGUGAGUGUGUGACCGGACCAUGGCUGUGCUCAGGACAGUUUGCUGUCUGCAUUCAAGUCUGCUGGAAGUCGACUCUUUUCUCUUAGUUUCUAUCCUGUGGAAAUAUUUUGCAGGUAGAACUGGAGUU
RNAcentral lists this long non-coding RNA (490 nucleotides) under Felis catus (domestic cat). Its description in RNAcentral is "lncRNA (ENSFCAG00000052267.1)". Lineage: Eukaryota; Metazoa; Chordata; Mammalia; Carnivora; Felidae. The record is from RNAcentral.